Molecule: long non-coding RNA, 1524 nt
Organism: Ailuropoda melanoleuca (giant panda)
Lineage: Eukaryota; Metazoa; Chordata; Mammalia; Carnivora; Ursidae
Exons: 3
Source: RefSeq, a predicted model, not a curated record
AGGACCACAGUCUGUCCCGGAGAGUGGCUUCUUCUUGGGUGUGGGCUCCAGAAUGAAGUGACACAUAGAACAACGUUGGAACCUGGAACAGAACUGAAGCCCAGGGAUGGCGCACAUAUCUGUUAUUAAGUUCUGCUCCGUGCAGUAUCGAUCCUGUGAAAUCAUGAAGUGGAAGAGAAGGCACAGAAAACCUGUAGGCUCGCUGGUCUGUGAUUGGUACAUGCAGAAACUCGAAAACUUCAGCACGAGUGAUCUUUACCACACAUAGGAACUAGGAUGAAAGUUGACAUUAAAGGCUGGCUAUCCGAAAGCCUGACAGCAACCCCCACUUGCUAACUGGAGAAUGAGCAUUUCAUCUAAGAAAGAGAAGAUCUCUCUUCAUUGCUGCAGUUGACUCAGAGAAGUCCAGAAACACCCAGGUUCCAGUGAAUGCAGAAGAUCGGUCCAGGAAGGUCUAAGUACAGGGGGGUAUGAGAAUACCAAUUCAUCACUUACCGACUAUUUGAGUACCUACCGUGAGCGAGACACUGUAUGGCCUUUUUUCCCAUGUGCUCUACUGAAGAGUCACAGAAUGGAGAAAUUCCCAUCUCUCUCCCACUGCCAACUUCCCAAAUCAGCCUCUCUAUAGUCUGACCCCACUGCCUAGGAAAUCCAUACCACACUCAUCAGCCCCGUUAACUAGCCAGGGCAGGCGGUGAAGAAGUAGGAGAGUCACGAGCACUGGUGGAUUGAACUGUGGGUGUUGGAGCCUCCAGCAACUGAGAGUGUCCUUUCCCUUCCCGUUUUUCCUUUUAUGGCCAGGUUUAAUGUUAUCGAUCUAGAAUUUCUGAUACUUCAGAGAAAACCCUAUGAGAUGUUGCCUAUGGCUCUCAGACCCCAUUCUCGUGAACACCCCAGAGCCUCUCUUGGAUCCUCACAGAGGGAAGGCUGCUGAAUUGCAGCUAUCUCUUCUUUUCUUUCCAGGUCUCCUUUAGGACGGAUACAUUCAGGGAAAUAAAUAGGAAUGUCUCUAUUGCUACUAUCUUGGUCUAAGCCACCGUACAUCUCACCUAGUUACUGUGAUGUUUUCCUAACUGGUUUCCCCACUUCUUCUUGACUCUCCCUCAGUCCAUUCUUAACACAGCAGGUGGAAUGAUCUAUUAAAACUCUUAAAGCUAGUCUGUUAAAACUCUUUAAGCUAGUCUGCCCACUUUCCCUUCCCGCCCUCCACUGUCCCUUCCUCCAUCUCCCUCACUCAAUCUCUUACUGCUCCCCUUGCUUACUAUAUAUGCGACAUCCCAGCCUCCUUUCUGUUUCUCCAACACACCUGUUUCUCCAGGCACCCUCUCACCUCAGGGCAUUUGCACUUGCCAUUCGUUCCCUCUGCCAGGUCCACUCUUCCCCAUAUCUGGCUCAUACCCUCACCACCACCAGGUCCAUACUCAAAUAUUACAUUCUUGAUGAGGAUUUCCCGGGCUGCCUGCUAUAUAUGAAAUUGUAACUUCCAGAGCCUUUAUUUCCUACUUUCCUUCCCUUCUUUAGGGU